UGCAGCACUGUUUGAGUGACUAUAUUGUAGACUUUCUGUUGGUCUAUUUGGAUAAUGUCAUUGUAUAUUCCAUAGAUUUUUACACCCAUCUUCAUCAUUUGGAGCGAGUAUUCCAGCGGCUGGCACAGUAUGGACUGAAGUUGAGGCUGGACAAGUGUCAGUUCCUUCAGCAACAAGUGAAAUCCCUGGGGCAUGUAGUGGACAAGACCGGCAUCAGCCCAGAUCCUAGUAAAACCGUGACAGUACAAGAGUGGCCUGUUCCAACCACAGUUCGAGAGGUUCCCAGUAGAUCGAAUGGCUCCUAUUGAGAUACGACGAGUUGAGGCAACAGAAGAUGCCUGUCAGCCAGUAACUGACCUCCCAGAUGUUGAAGAGUGGCGUAAGAGCCAAGGUGAAGAUGAGGAACUUCAACAGGUAUGGAAGUAUGUGGAGUCAAGUAGUGUACCUUCGACCAUGGAGCGAGCCAAUAUGUCUCUAACGGUGAAACAACUACUUCGACAGAGCGUUAAGCUUGUGAUUCAAGAUGGUGUUUUGUAUAAGAGAAUGAUUGACCCCAGUACCCAUGAGUUGCAUCUACAGAUUAUCUGUCCGGCAUCUAGACGUGAGGAAGUAUGGCGACGAUACCAUGAUGUGUCUGCACAUGCAGGAGUUUCACGGACACUUUCGAGGGUCAGACACAACAUUUUCUGGCCGAAGAUGGAGGAGAUUGUCAAGGGGUACCACCUGGGUUGUGUCGCUUGUGGCCUACAGAAAGAAAACCGUGAGUCGAAGUGUUGUGAAGACGCCGACGUAGAGCAAUCACGGGCGCAGCUCUUGGAGACGAGCGAGUCAGCGCAUGUUCGGAGUCGAGUGCAUCAGUUGGUUGGGGAGCACGACGGUGACUAGCAGAGUAACCACGUUUGUACAACUGUUUGGAGACAAGCAAUUCAGUGAGUGCUGUUCGGGGACGAGUGAGACGGCGACGGAGGGUUUGUGCAACGCUGGAAAUUGACUAGACUGGGUAGUGGGUACUGCUACCCAGUCAUAUUGUGAGUACAACCCCAGUUGAAGAUCGUUUGAUGGAUGUUAUUGUGACCAUUUUUUGCAUCUAAUUCCUAAUUAAUAGAGACUAAGAACUAAUUGCCAGUAUACUAGCCAUAGCUCUUAGUUUUCCUUUUUGUAGUGGUGUGACUUAUUUGGUUGCAGUGUAUAUUGGUUGGUGUGGGUAUUUGUGUGCACAAGUGAGAGUGGUAGUAGGCUACGUUAGCUUUUGCUGACAUUGGACUGGAGAUACUGGUAGUUGUUUCUUAUUCCUCUCUAGUACACUACUGGCUGGAUCUGUGGAGACCUGCAUGUGGUGGGACCAACCCAGGAC
Long non-coding RNA from Cyprinus carpio carpio, 1354 nucleotides. The record is from Ensembl. Lineage: Eukaryota; Metazoa; Chordata; Actinopteri; Cypriniformes; Cyprinidae.